GACAGAGGGGGCAAGCGUUGCUCGGAAUCACUGGGCGUAAAGGGCGCGUAGGCGGGAUGGCAAGUCAGUCGUGAAAUCUCUCGGCUCAACCGAGAAACGUCGGCUGAUACUGCCGUUCUUGAGGGAUGCAGAGGAGACUGGAAUUCCCGGUGUAGCGGUGAAAUGUGUAGAGAUCGGGAGGAACACCGGUGGCGAAGGCGGGUCUCUGGGCAUCUCCUGACGCUGAGGCGCGAAAGCGUGGGGAUCGAACAGG
This 253-nucleotide ribosomal RNA is filed under the name uncultured bacterium. Its description in RNAcentral is "partial 16S ribosomal RNA". It matches the Rfam family "Bacterial small subunit ribosomal RNA", at positions 524 to 776 of the family's 1533-position model. The record is from RNAcentral.